GUGGGGAAUAUUGGGCAAUGGGGGAAACCCUGACCCAGCAACGCCGCGUGAAGGAAGAAGGUUUUCGGAUCGUAAACUUCUAUCCUUGGUGAAGAUAAUGACGGUAGCCAAGAAGGAAGCCCCGGCUAACUACGUGCCAGCAGCCGCGGUAAUACGUAGGGGGCAAGCGUUGUCCGGAAUGAUUGGGCGUAAAGGGCGCGUAGGCGGCCUGGUAAGUCUGGAGUGAAAGUCCUGCUUUUAAGGUGGGAAUUGCUUUGGAUACUGUCGGGCUUGAGUGCAGGAGAGGUAAGUGGAAUUCCCGGUGUAGCGGUGAAAUGCGUAGAGAUCGGGAGGAACACCAGUGGCGAAGGCGACUUACUGGACUGUAACUGACGCUGAGGCGCGAAAGUGUGGGGAGCAAACAGGAUUAGAAACCCCUGUAGUCC
This 425-nucleotide ribosomal RNA is filed under the name uncultured bacterium. Its description in RNAcentral is "partial 16S ribosomal RNA". It matches the Rfam family "Bacterial small subunit ribosomal RNA", at positions 354 to 796 of the family's 1533-position model. The record is from RNAcentral.